This 784-nucleotide ribosomal RNA is filed under the name uncultured Actinomycetales bacterium. Its description in RNAcentral is "bacterial SSU rRNA". It matches the Rfam family "Bacterial small subunit ribosomal RNA", at positions 8 to 796 of the family's 1533-position model. Lineage: Bacteria; Bacillati; Actinomycetota; Actinomycetes; Actinomycetales. The record is from RNAcentral.
AGAGUUUGAUCAUGGCUCAGGACGAACGCUGGCGGCGUGCCUAAUACAUGCAAGUCGAGCGACGAAACCGGAAGGGGUAACCCUUCUGGUGGAAAGCGGCGAACGGGUGAGUAACACGUGGGUAACGUGCCCCAGACUCCGGGAUAACAACGGGAAACCGUUGCUAAUACCGGAUAACCCCAGCGGACCGCAUGGUCUGCUGGGCAAAGUUUUUCGGUCUGGGAUCGGCCCGCGGCCUAUCAGCUUGUUGGUGGGGUAACGGCCUACCAAGGCUCUGACGGGUAGCUGGCGUGAGAGCGUGGCCAGCCACACUGGGACUGAGACACGGCCCAGACUCCUACGGGAGGCAGCAGUAGGGAAUCUUGCGCAAUGGGCGAAAGCCUGACGCAGCGACGCCGCGUGAGGGAUGACGGCUUUCGGGUUGUAAACCUCUUUCAGCGGGGACGAAGCCUCACGGUGACGGUACCCGCAGAAGAAGGUCCGGCCAACUACGUGCCAGCAGCCGCGGUAAUACGUAGGGACCGAGCGUUGUCCGGAAUCAUUGGGCGUAAAGCGCGCGUAGGCGGCCGUCCACGUCGGGUGUGAAAGCUCGGGGCUCAACCCUGAGAGGCCACUCGAUACGGGACGGCUAGAGGCAGCUAGGGGAGAGUGGAAUACCUGGUGUAGCGGUGAAAUGCGCAGAUAUCAGGUGGAACACCGGUGGCGAAGGCGGCUCUCUGGGGCUGAUCUGACGCUGAGGCGCGAAAGCUGGGGUAGCAAACAGGAUUAGAUACCCCCGUAGUCC